This 668-nucleotide small RNA is filed under the name Pongo abelii (Sumatran orangutan). Its description in RNAcentral is "retained intron". The record is from RNAcentral. Lineage: Eukaryota; Metazoa; Chordata; Mammalia; Primates; Hominidae.
UCGCCCCGGGCUCCUCCGGCCGCUCAGCGCGAGGCUGGGGGCUUCGUUUUCCUCCCCGAUUCCUCUCGGUGCCCAUGGUCUUCUUCUGUCCCAUGCCUCUCCGUCCCCGAGGCGGGCCGGGCCGCCUUGUGACGCCCUCGCGCCGUCCUCGCAGAGUACGUGGCCGAGCACUGGGCAGAGGACACCUUCUUUGGGUACCAGUACCUCAACGGCGUCAACCCCGGCCUGAUUCGCCGCUGCACGCGGAUCCCAGACAAGUUCCCCGUCACAGACGACAUGGUGGCUCCGUUCCUGGGCGAGGGAACGUGCUUGCAAGCGGAGCUGGAGCUCAGCCAGACCCCUGGGCCAGAUUGCCCCAUCUUCCUGCCCAGUGAUUCUGAGUGGGACUGGCUGCUAGCCAAGACGUGGGUACGCUAUGCGGAGUUCUACAGCCAUGAGGCCAUCGCCCACCUGCUGGAGACCCACCUCAUUGCCGAGGCCUUCUGCCUGGCCUUGCUGAGGAACCUGCCCAUGUGCCACCCACUCUACAAGCUCCUCAUCCCCCAUACCCGAUACACCGUCCAGAUCAACAGCAUUGGCCGGGCCGUUCUCCUCAAUGAGGGGGGGCUCUCUGCCAAGGGCAUGUCCCUGGGCGUGGAAGGCUUUGCUGGGGUGAUGGUACGGGCUCU